This 624-nucleotide long non-coding RNA is filed under the name Monodelphis domestica (gray short-tailed opossum). Its description in RNAcentral is "lncRNA (ENSMODG00000035833.2)". The record is from RNAcentral. Lineage: Eukaryota; Metazoa; Chordata; Mammalia; Didelphimorphia; Didelphidae.
AGAAGCUCUAAGAUCAAACUGUUAGAAUGCAAAAGAAAAGAAAUGGUGACAACAUAUAGAUAGGCUUUGCUUGAAUGGAUUUCCUUCUCUCUCCUGAAGUCCUUUUGUCACAUUCAAUGCUGUUGCCUCCUGUAAUACAACUCCCGGAAUGGAAAUGACAUGAUGUCAGAGGUAAUUCCUGCAAAACCAGUUUCAGGUGCCCAAGGUGACCCUUGUAGGACCUGAGAGCUUGAACCACGAUGACAUUGGAGCCUCAUAGGACUUCAGAUGGGAUGAUCCAGCAAGCCAACCCAAAUAGAGCCAAGUUUUAUUCUAUUCCUUCAAAGAUUGUUGGAUCAGCCAGAUUCUGUGAUAAGUGCUGUAAAAAGCUGGAAAAAGGGCAUUCCCCUGCCCUCAAGAAGCUUACAUUCUUAUGAAGAAAAAAACCACAUAAAGGGAAACUUUUCUUCAUGUAAAGGAAAGAUGGUUGAUGUUGGAGAGAAUAAGAAGUCCAAAUGGUGGAAUCAGGUAUGAAGUGGAACAUUUAAGGCCUUUUUUGCAAUAGUGGUCCAGAUAGGCAAUAUUUUCCUUUGUGCAGUUGGUCUUCCAAAUAAAGUAGAUUAUUAGCUGUUUCUUGGAAUUGAC